AUUGAACGCUGGCGGAACGCUUUACACAUGCAAGUCGAACGGUAGAGGGGGCAACCCCUCGAGAGUGGCGAACGGGUGAGUAAUAUAUCGGAACGUGCCCAGUCGUGGGGGAUAACGUAGCGAAAGUUACGCUAAUACCGCAUACGAUCUAAGGAUGAAAGCGGGGGAUCGCAAGACCUCGCGCGAUUGGAGCGGCCGAUAUCAGAUUAGGUAGUUGGUGGGGUAAAGGCUCACCAAGCCAACGAUCUGUAGCUGGUCUGAGAGGACGACCAGCCACACUGGAACUGAGACACGGUCCAGACUCCUACGGGAGGCAGCAGUGGGGAAUUUUGGACAAUGGACGCAAGUCUGAUCCAGCCAUUCCGCGUGCAGGAUGAAGGCCCUCGGGUUGUGAACUGCUUUUGUACGGAACGAAAAGGUCUCUCUUAAUACGGGGGACUCAUGACGGUACCGUAAGAAUAAGCACCGGCUAACUACGUGCCAGCCGCCGCCGUAA
RNAcentral lists this ribosomal RNA (496 nucleotides) under uncultured bacterium. RNAcentral describes it as "partial 16S ribosomal RNA". It matches the Rfam family "Bacterial small subunit ribosomal RNA", at positions 30 to 523 of the family's 1533-position model. The record is from RNAcentral.